Molecule: long non-coding RNA, 5498 nt
Filed under: Bos grunniens (domestic yak)
Lineage: Eukaryota; Metazoa; Chordata; Mammalia; Artiodactyla; Bovidae
Description: lncRNA (ENSBGRG00000014145.1)
Source: RNAcentral
AUGAAAAAGAAAUCAAAUAUAUAUAUUUUUUAUGUUGGAGGCAUUUCUGCUGCUCCUUGGCAGGAAGGAAAGAAGGAGAAUGUUAACGGGUAUUCUUUCUUCCAAAGUGCACCGCGUAUAGGAAGGACGCGAGCAUCAAUAUUUCAUCCUUGCUUCGCCUGCCAGCAUCCCGCUCCCUCCUCCCUGCUUCUCACCGGCUCUAGGGCCCGGAGAGCUGGGCCACGCUGGCCUGACCCAGGGCGUCAUCACAGAUGUCCACGCUGCCUUCAGCUUGCCCGCCGUGCCAUCGUGGACUCCAGAGUCUGCGCAAGAAGCCGCCCUUCUGAACCAGGUGUCGUUGGUUUUUUCCCACCUCCCAGGCCUAGGCAGGUGGAUAAAGGAAGCAGCGUGGGUGUUCAGGAGCACACAUCCCUCCGGCCAGCCCCCAGCCUGUCUCAUCUUGUCCACUUGAGGUCACAGAGGAAUGCGCUGUGCUCUGCCAGGGGGGUCCUGGCAGAGUGUGGAGCUGGGAUGGAAGCAGUUACUCUCAGGAGGACUUUGGGCAGACUGUGGUCCUUUCUCAGGCUGGUGGCCAGCUCUUCAUUUCUGUGUUGGGACUGGGGUUGAGGGUGCCUGCUGAGGUGAGCCCCUGGGGGAAUUGCUGUGUCUGGCACCAAACUCCCCCUCCCUCCAUGAGGGCCAGGUGGGGCGUCCCACUCCCCUCCUUUCCUCACCCCCCAUACCUGAUCCAUCAGGAGUGCCUGCCCCCUAAGCCCCCCAGUACUGCUGAAAUCCAGCCUCUUUGACUGUCAGCUGCCACCCUGCCCAUGCCCCUCCACCUGGUCUCCACUCCCUCCCAUGUCCCCUGCAGUCUGUGCUCGGCACAGCUGCUGUGAGCCCACCUGGCCGUGCCUGGCUCACCUGUGCCAGCGGCCUGAGCACACAGGCCGGCAGGCUCCCCGGGGCCUCUGUGCCUUUUCUUUCCCAGGUGUCCUCCUGGCUCACUGUCACCUCCUUCAGGUCUCUGCCCAAGUGUCACUCAGCCCCACCCCUCAACAAUGUACUUUGAAUUUUCCCCCCAGCAUCUAACAUGCUGGUUACUCAGUUAUCCACGCUCACACAGUAAAAGCUCCCUGAGGGCAGGAAACACUAAUAUUUCAUUCACAGAUUCAUCUCAGAGUAGUGCUCCCUAGGAAGGGCUCAAUAAAUGUUGUGGAGUCUCAAUGAAUGAAUGUGUGAGUGAAUGAAUGAGUGCAUAAAUGAACAAAUGUGUCAGUGAAUAAAUGAUUUAAGUGAAUGGAUGAAUGAACAAGUAAGUGGGUAAACAAGUGAGUGAAUGAGUGAGUGAAGGAAUGAAUGAAUUCCCCCCAAGAGUAUUCCAUGGCCCACUUAGGAUGGCCCACAGACAAUAAUUUUUCUCUUAGACCUAUGCACUGGGAAAACGUUAGCCUGUGUUGAGAAACUGAUGUUCACUCAUUCACUUACUCAGUGUAUUUAUGGAGAACCCACAGUGUGUCAGGCCUGUCCAAGGUGUUGUGGGAGUGGUAAGGGACAAAUUGGGUGGGCAUGUUUGUUUUCUAGUGCUGAGUAUUCAUCUUCAGGGUCCCUGCGGGGGUUGUCACUGUUUUCCUUUCUGCUUUGGCUGCCCCCAAGCCCAGAGCUAAGUUUGUGAAUUUUCUGAGUACUAAAACUGCCCCUUUGAUCUCUCUUUGUUAUUCUACUUUUCUUCUCCCUGAAUCUUGUUUCUGAUCUUUUCAGAUUCAGAAAAGGGACGUUCUUCCCAGGUCCGUGUGGUGUCUGGUGGGCCGGCUCAGGACACCAGGAGGUGGCUGGCUGGGGACCAGUGCUUCCUCCUGGUCCCUCUUCUGCACCUCUCUGGCUCUCUGUCUCUGGCAUCUUCACCUCUAGCUCUGUGGCUCUGCUGCCUGCUUCCUUCAGUCCCUUCUGGACCUGCCUUCUCACUGGCAUGGCUGAAGAUGGGGCCCCGCUACUCUUUCGCUUUGAUGAAAUAAAUCAUUUGUACGUUAAAUCUUAUUUACGCAUUCUUGUAAACUACUUCAGACUCUUUUGGCAGCAAGAUGUACAUAGAUUACUGCUUAGGGAUGAGUGCGCAUAUGUGUGUGUGGGGGGUGGGGUGGGGCUGGCUCUCCCUGGAGAGAAGGGGCCAAGAGGAGACAGGACUCCCCAGAGGGAGGAAGCUGAAGUGACAAACCUCCUGUGCCGGAGGAGGGUCCUGCCUGCCAGCCCUCCUGACAGGCCCUCUUUAAGAGUCAAUUUGAUCUGCUCAGCCACAGCCCAGUGAUCACUUGGCCCUGGUGUAUUUCAUCACCAGCCUGCUGUCUCCUGAUAAAUUCCCCCUCCCAAGCCCCCGCUGGCCAGUCUUGGGCUUCACAGCCUCAUUCCGGGAUCAAAUCAUGGACCAUUUGUCCUUGGCCCCCUCUUACCAUCACUGGGGCUGGCGUGACCUCUGCAUCUGAAGUUAGGGGACAGGAGAAGGGAUAGAUGGGCUUGAGCAAUUGGCACAGAGGGCCAGAGGUGGGGGACAUUCAGGGGACGAUGAGGAGGCUUUGGCUGGGGGGUGGGAUGCUGGCCAAUGGGUCACAGAUGUACCCGUGUCUCUCAGUCUUGAACCACAGCUUCCCUCCAUCAUCACUGCAGCUUUGAACAACUAAACUAGACUCUUGGGGGUUGGGCAGGGGUGUGACCAAGAGAGAAGGGGGCUUUGGCCUGAAAACCAGAGGCAAAGGCACCCUCACUGUGGGCUCGUGUUUGGAGGGUCUCACCCUGACCCUUAGCCUCCUGCCCCUAACAUACCCUGUGGUCUCAGAAGGGGAGCCUCAGUAGGGGUAGCAACUUCCUUGGUGCCAUUGCUGAGGCUGUAAGAGGUCACUGCUAAUAGUUACGUACCUCUAAACAAGUUAAGUAACUUCUCUGUGCCUCAGUGUUAGCAUCUGCACAUUGGGGAUAAGGCUUCUCACAGAGUUGUUGUAAAGAUUAAGAUUACCUAAAAAUUCAGCAGAAUGUCUGCAUACAGUAAGUACUCAGUAAGUGGUAGCCACUAUUAUUAUCAUUUGUGACACUCUAGAAGGUCCUUCCCACCCCUGUAUCUCUUUCUUACAUGCAUAGCUUAAAAGUCCUUCUCUGCUUAUUUCUUUGAAUGAUAGUUCUUCCAAAGCUCCAAUGAAGAAACUCAAAAUAGCACUUGACAAGACCGUGUGAAGGUUAAGAACAGGGACUUGAGGUCUAAUGCUUCACCUCGUCUGCUGUGUGGCCUUGGGCAGCUCCCUAGCCUCUCUGAGCCUUGAUUCUUUUUCUUUUGAUGAGAUAACAGAUCCAGAUGUGGGCUUCAUUUUUUUUCUUCCAAUAUUUAUUUUUAAAUAUUUGGCUUCACCGGGUCUUAGUUGCUACAUGUAGAUUCUUUAGUUGUGGCUUGUGAACUCUUAGUUGCAGAUGUGGGAUCUAUUAAUAGUUCCUGACCAGGAAUUGGGAGUGUGGAGUCUUAGCCUCUGGACCAUCAGGGAAAUCCCUCUAGGGUUCUUUUGAACACGAAACAAGAUCAAGUGUUUAAGACAUUCAGCGUGGUGUGCGGCGUGGCCUGCGUGGUUGAGCAACAGGAGGCUGUCACUUUGCAAGGUGCUGGUCACACAUCACUGCAUCAAGGCUGCCCUCAAUUCUGAGCCGGCAGUGCAGGGUUCACCACGCCCCUGCUGGGGGAGAAGACUGAGGUCAUGAGAGGGGAAGUGACUUUCCAAGCUGGGCUGGACCUUGGCCUCCCGGCUUGGAUACUGGCCUUCAGAGCCUGGCUCAGGUGGCCAUCACUCUUGAAGUGAUGUGAGGAAUCAGAGGCUUUGCUCCUGACCUGAGGCCAGGAGGGAGGGAAGGGGGCCGGCAGGGGCAGUUGUAGGUCUGAGUGUGAGGUUACAGAUGGGGCUGGGGAGGGGACUUCAGGAGUCACAGCGAACCUUCCCCUUCACAUCUUUGCCCCAACCCAGCCCACUCUUUGCUGCUGUGUGAGCGACCCCAUGCACCCUCCUCCUGCAGCUCCCAGGGCUUUGCUCUGGGCUCAGGGGCAGUGGGUGGCUAGAAUAGAGCCCUUCCGCAGGACUGGAAGUGGUGUGUCUGCCCUCUGCCCCCUGGGGCAUGGCCUUCUCUGGUGCCUCCCAGGCUCAGGAGGCUAGAGACUGGCCCUGACCCAGGGAAAAGCUUUAGACAUGAUUUCAUUUUUUAUUGAGAUUGUAAGUGGUGGGGGAAAAGACAAGUAAAAAAAUAGCCCAUCUGGGCUGAGCAGGGGAGAAAGCAAUUUCCUUCUGAAAUCUCCUUUUCUCUGAUUCUCAAAAUAUUAGAAGAAAAUUUAGAAAUGUCUUGGUGCCUCUGGCUGGGGUGUGGGCCAGACCACCUAAGAGUCACUAGGGUGGGGUCCAGAGAGGUGGCUGGGGAGUGGUGAGGAGGAACCAAGGCCUUUUGAGUUCCAGUCCAAGCCUCAAGGCCAGGCGGGGUGGGUGGGGUGGGGGUGGGUGGAGGGUGGGGUGGGGGGAUCGUGGGGCAGAGGGAGCGCUGAGGAUGGAGGGUGACAGGGACUGGCAGGGGUCGGAGGUCCUGGUGGGCAGAAGGGAGGAGGAAGAAACAGCAGAGACUCCCAGGCUGCUGGGGCCGGGGGUCAUCCAGCACCUAAAGGAAGUCCGUGCCUGGGGUCAGCGUCUCAGGAGAUCUCAUGGGGCAGAAGCACAGAUCCAUCCUGAAGGACAGGACGUUCUAAUCCCCUUCCUGGAAGGACCCACAGGUGCUGGGUAGUCAGGUGGUCCCUCGGAGGCCUUGUCAGGGACUGCAGGGCAAGCGUGGUAAAGGGCCAGCCUGAGCCUGUCCUCUCGGGCCAUUCUCCACGUUCCCCAGAUGCCCCCUCCUCAGCCUCUGCUUCUGUGAGUGGGCGUGGUCCAGUAGGCAUGGCAUAGCUGUGAGGAUUCCAGCUUGGGGGGCAGAAUGGGCCCUAGCGGGUGGGGCAGAAAUAGAGGCUGAGGCUCACUGUAGGGGCUUCCUCUGGUCUUGUCCUUUCCUAUGACAUGGUGCUAACCCCAUGUCCUAAAGCACCAACCCUCCAACUAACCCAUCAGCCACCAGAGUCUGCCAACUUGCCAAUUAAGCCAUCACCUCACUAACCAAUCCAGGAACCACCAGCCAGCACAUCACCUACUGUACCUGGUGCCAUUACACCACCCUGGCAACCCUCUAAGCAGCUACCAACCAACCCACCAACCAGAAAACCCACCAACCCGUCUGCCAACUCAGCUGCUCUCCCACCACUCUACCACCCCACUAACCAGCCUAUCAACCAACUCACCAGUCAACCCAUACCUCACCGUCCAAUCUGAAGAUAGAAGCUACACAGUAAUUGAACAGGAAAGGCUUGGUAUAAAGAAUUACUGACUGGAAUAGGGGCUGACUUACUAAGGGUUACCUACUGUCUGUUUUAAUAGGAGACUGAUUUGCUUACUCUAAAGAAACAUGGGAAUAGCAGCUGUGGG